AACGAACGCUGGCGGCAGGCUUAACACAUGCAAGUCGAACGAGCUGGGGGCUUCGGUCCCCGAUGCUAGUGGCGCACGGGUGAGUAACACGUGGGAAUAUGCCCUCUAGUACGGAAUAACCAAGGGAAACUUUGCCUAAUACCGUAUAGGCCCUUCGGGGGACAGCUUUAUCGCUAAAGGAUUAGCCCGCGUCUGAUUAGGUAGUUGGUGAGGGAAUGGCUCAUAAAUCCGACGUUCAGUACCUGGUCUGAGAGGCUGAUCAGCCACACUGGGACGGGGCCACGGCCGAGACUCCUACGGGAGGCGGCAGUGGGGGAUAUAGGACAAUGGGGGCAGUCCUGAUCCAGCCAGGCCGGGUGAGUGAAGAAGGCCGUCGGGUUGUAAAGCUCUUUCGACGGGGACGAUGAUGACGGUACCCGUACAAGAAGCCCCGGCUAACUUCGUG
This 445-nucleotide ribosomal RNA is filed under the name uncultured bacterium. RNAcentral describes it as "partial 16S ribosomal RNA". It matches the Rfam family "Bacterial small subunit ribosomal RNA", at positions 29 to 507 of the family's 1533-position model. The record is from RNAcentral.